GGAUGCUGUUCAACAAGAAUGGCAACUCGAAGAGCUGUGGAUAACCCACAGGGAGGCUGACUGGCAUGUCCACCUUCCCUAUUUUCUGAGGUAGCCAUUGCCCUCCCAUAUAUUCUUGGAAUCCUUAUCCACAUUGCUUGCCCAACAAACAUUCAGUAAAGACAAAUGGGAAAACUUGAGAAUAAUCCAGAAUAGCUUGGUACAUGGAGAAAAGCAGUC
Molecule: long non-coding RNA, 219 nt
Filed under: Homo sapiens (human)
Lineage: Eukaryota; Metazoa; Chordata; Mammalia; Primates; Hominidae
Description: LHRI_LNC571.1
Source: RNAcentral